This 492-nucleotide ribosomal RNA is filed under the name uncultured bacterium. RNAcentral's name for it is "partial 16S ribosomal RNA". It matches the Rfam family "Bacterial small subunit ribosomal RNA", at positions 29 to 507 of the family's 1533-position model. The record is from RNAcentral.
AGUGAACGCUGGCGGUAGGCCUAGCACAUGCAAGUCGAACGGCAGCACAGUAAGAGCUUGCUCUUACGGGUGGCGAGUGGCGGACGGGUGAGGAAUACAUCGGAAUCUACUUUUUCGUGGGGGAUAACGUAGGGAAACUUACGCUAAUACCGCAUACGACCUACGGGUGAAAGCAGGGGAUCUUCGGACCUUGCGCGAUUGAAUGAGCCGAUGUCGGAUUAGCUAGUUGGCGGGGUAAAGGCCCACCAAGGCGACGAUCCGUAGCUGGUCUGAGAGGAUGAUCAGCCACACUGGAACUGAGACACGGUCCAGACUCCUACGGGAGGCAGCAGUGGGGAAUAUUGGACAAUGGGCGCAAGCCUGAUCCAGCCAUACCGCGUGGGUGAAGAAGGCCUUCGGGUUGUAAAGCCCUUUUGUUGGGAAAGAAAAGCAGCAGGUUAAUACCCCGCUGUUCUGACGGUACCCAAAGAAUAAGCACCGGCCAACUUCGUG